This 108-nucleotide ribosomal RNA is filed under the name Jaculus jaculus (lesser Egyptian jerboa). The record is from RNAcentral. Lineage: Eukaryota; Metazoa; Chordata; Mammalia; Rodentia; Dipodidae.
GUCUAUUGCCACUCCACUCUGAAAGCACGAGAUCUUGUCUGAUCUCAGAAGCUAAGCAGGGUCGGGUCUGGCUAGUACUUGGAUGGGAGAAAGAUGGAAAAUUAGGCC